This 72-nucleotide transfer RNA is filed under the name Sarcophilus harrisii (Tasmanian devil). It matches the Rfam family "tRNA". Rfam says of the family: Transfer RNA (tRNA) molecules are approximately 80 nucleotides in length. Their secondary structure includes four short double-helical elements and three loops (D, anti-codon, and T loops). Further hydrogen bonds mediate the characteristic L-shaped molecular structure. tRNAs have two regions of fundamental functional importance: the anti-codon, which is responsible for specific mRNA codon recognition, and the 3' end, to which the tRNAs corresponding amino acid is attached (by aminoacyl-tRNA synthetases). tRNAs cope with the degeneracy of the genetic code in two manners: having more than one tRNA (with a specific anti-codon) for a particular amino acid; and 'wobble' base-pairing, i.e. permitting non-standard base-pairing at the 3rd anti-codon position. The record is from Rfam by way of RNAcentral. Lineage: Eukaryota; Metazoa; Chordata; Mammalia; Dasyuromorphia; Dasyuridae.
GUAUAAAUAAAUAAAUAAAUAAAUUACUAGAUUUGGAACCCAGAAGACCUGAGUUCAAAUCCUAGUUAUAUG